Molecule: long non-coding RNA, 216 nt
Organism: Etheostoma spectabile (orangethroat darter)
Lineage: Eukaryota; Metazoa; Chordata; Actinopteri; Perciformes; Percidae
Exons: 3
Source: RefSeq, a predicted model, not a curated record
GACCAGGCCAUCCAUUUUGUUUGUCAUCUUGUAGAUGAGCUGAAAGACCUGGCGCUGCCUUUCCUGCAUAUCCUCCUGCAGCAUAUCUGCUUCCAGAUGGUGGAGAAGAGUGAGUUUCGAAGCCAUGGAGCCCAGGCUGUGGGUAUGCUGACGUCUCAGAUGGCAAGUACAGACUAUGCCUGCUUCAUCAAGUGGCUGUUUAACUACUCCAGACAC